This 267-nucleotide long non-coding RNA is filed under the name Lathyrus oleraceus (garden pea). RNAcentral describes it as "Pisum sativum (pea) long non-coding RNA (PSAT_LNC025668)". Lineage: Eukaryota; Viridiplantae; Streptophyta; Magnoliopsida; Fabales; Fabaceae. The record is from RNAcentral.
AAUAUUCUUUCUUAUUCUAUUUCCCUUCAUAUUUUCACUUUCUCUUUCAUCAAAAUUAAUUAAAGUUAUCCAAAGUCACCGAAUCCUUCUCCCAAAAAAUUAUUGGUUUGAGAUUUGAUGACAAUGUCACUAAGAAAUGUCAUUGUUAGUACUUAAUUGCUUCCAAUAUUCUCUUGACUCCCCAACAAUAAAAGAGAUAUACAUAUAUUUGUGGUUUGUGAUUUGUUGCUUUCAAUAUUCUCUUGACUCCGAAUAAUAAAAGAGAUG